Long non-coding RNA from Trifolium pratense (red clover), 1161 nucleotides. RefSeq lists it as uncharacterized. The record is from RefSeq and is a predicted model, not a curated record. Lineage: Eukaryota; Viridiplantae; Streptophyta; Magnoliopsida; Fabales; Fabaceae. The transcript is spliced from 3 exons.
GAAGCCCUAAAUCUUUGCUUAUUUGAAACCCUAAUCUUUACCCAAUUAGCCUUUGACAUCUAUCUCCAUCCUCUAGGUUUGCAUUCAUUCAAAUAAUUUUUUGCCAGAUGUCUCAUGUGGACCUCUCCUAUAAUUGCUGGUUUAUGCAAACAACAGGUAUUGCUGGUUUAUGCAAACAACUGGUAUUGCUGAUUUAUGCAAACAACUGGCACAAGUGGUUUAUGGAAACAACUGUGGUUUUAUGAUUGAUUUCCCAAUUUUUCUCAUUUGUGAAGUUUUUUUCUCUCUCUUCCCCCUCUCUCUCUCUCUCUCUCUCUCUCUCUCUCUCUCUCUCUCUCUCUCUCUCUCUCUCUCGUACGCUCUGCUCUUUCUCACCUUCCUCUCACACUUUCAUCUCUCUUUCUCUCUGCACUCUCCAUCUCAUCCUUCACCAUAACAUCCACACAACAACCUCCACCACCAUCUACAAAUCAACCACUCGUGAGAGUGAGGGAGUGGCCGAGUGAGAAAAUAUUUGCCGGCGGGAGAGAAGUUCCGGCGAGGAGGAGGAGUUCCGGCCGAGAGAGUUCUUGUGGCGGUUUGUGUAGGGUUGGGCAUUAAGGUUGCAAUCAAGUCGGAAUUUAUGAUCGCACCGCCGAUUGGAGGUGGUGGUGAUGUGUGGUGGUUAUGGUGGAUGGUGAUGCACUGAUGCUACUUAUUAAAUAAAAUUGGUGAUCUUGUGUUGUGAGCUUUGCUAUCUUCUUUAAAGUUAGUUUUAUAUAGACUCAUAUUAUCCUUAAUACAUGCUGUCAUGAAGCAUUGUGCUAUAAGUGAAAGCUUUGAACAUUGUCUGAUAAAUGAAAGUUUUGAAUUGGAUUUUUUCAAGUGAAGGAGUAUUUUGCAAGUAACUAAAAUUUGGUAUUUCAAGAGGCCAUUGAAUUUGGUCUUUCAAGAGGGCAUUGAGUAUGUGGCUGAACAUGGUUAUCAGUUAGUUGCACCUUUUUUUACUGUGGAAUGAAUGUAAUUAUUAUCAGUUAAAUCACAGCUAAUUACUAGGAUUUAUAGUCUUGCAACACUAAGAUUACUUUAACCAGAUGAUGUCUGCUGAUUUCAUGCUGAAAUACUUAUGUUACUGCUUAUUUUCAUCAUUUUGUGAGAACCACAGUGCCAUUAUUAUGCUCA